AGAGUUUGAUCAUGGCUCAGGACGAACGCUGGCGGCACGCUUAACACAUGCAAGUCGAACGAGCGAUGAGAGCUUGCUCUCAAAGCGAGUGGCGGACGGGUGAGUAACACGUGAGCAACCUGCCUUUAAGAGGGGAAUAACGUUUGGAAACGAACGCUAAUACCGCAUAAUACAGAAGAUUCGCAUGUUUCUUCUGUCAAAGAUUUAUCGCUUAAAGAUGGGCUCGCGUCUGAUUAGCUGGUUGGUGAGGUAACGGCCCACCAAGGCGACGAUCAGUAGCCGUGCUGAGAGGUAGAACGGCCACAUUGGGACUGAGACACGGCCCAGACUCCUACGGGAGGCAGCAGUGGGGAAUAUUGCACAAUGGAGGAAACUCUGAUGCAGCGAUGCCGCGUGAGGGAAGAAGGUUUUCGGAUUGUAAACCUCUGUCUUCAGGGACGAAAAUGACGGUACCUGAGGAGGAAGCUCCGGCUAACUACGUGCCAGCAGCCGCGGUAAUACGUAGGGAGCGAGCGUUGUCCGGAAUUACUGGGUGUAAAGGGAGCGUAGGCGGGGCUUUAAGUCAGGUGUGAAAUGUAUGGGCUCAACCCGUAAACUGCACUUGAAACUGAGGCUCUUGAGUGAAGUAGAGGCAGGCGGAAUUCCUAGUGUAGCGGUGAAAUGCGUAGAUAUUAGGAGGAACAUCAGUGGCGAAGGCGGCCUGCUGGGCUUUUACUGACGCUGAGGCUCGAAAGCGUGGGGAGCAAACAGGAUUAGAUACCCUGGUAGUCCACGCUGUAAACGAUGAUUACUAGGUGUGGGGGGACUGACCCCUUCCGUGCCGCAGUU
Molecule: ribosomal RNA, 828 nt
Filed under: uncultured bacterium
Lineage: Bacteria
Description: bacterial SSU rRNA
Rfam family: Bacterial small subunit ribosomal RNA
Source: RNAcentral